RNAcentral lists this ribosomal RNA (253 nucleotides) under uncultured bacterium. RNAcentral's name for it is "partial 16S ribosomal RNA". It matches the Rfam family "Bacterial small subunit ribosomal RNA", at positions 524 to 776 of the family's 1533-position model. The record is from RNAcentral.
UACAGAGGUCCCAAGCGUUGUUCGGAUUCACUGGGCGUAAAGGGUGCGUAGGCGGUCGGGUAAGUCUGACGUGAAAUCUUCAAGCUCAACUUGGAAACUGCGUCCGAUACUAUUCGGCUAGAGGAAUGGAGGGGAGACUGGAAUACUUGGUGUAGCAGUGAAAUGCGUAGAUAUCUGGAGGAACACCGGUGGCGAAGGCGGCAUCCUGGACCAACACUGACGCUGAGGAGCGAAAGCCAGGGGAGCAAACGGG